AGUGAACGCUGGCGGUAGGCCUAACACAUGCAAGUCGAACGGCAGCACAGUAAGAGCUUGCUCUUACGGGUGGCGAGUGGCGGACGGGUGAGGAAUACAUCGGAAUCUACUUUUUCGUGGGGGAUAGCGUAGGGAAACUUACGCUAAUACCGCAUACGACCUACGGGUGAAAGCAGGGGAUCUUCGGACCUUGCGCGAUUGAAAGAGCCGAUGUCGGAUUAGCUAGUUGGCGGGGUAAAGGCCCACCAAGGCGACGAUCCGUAGCUGGUCUGAGAGGAUGAUCAGCCACACUGGAACUGAGACACGGUCCAGACUCCUACGGGAGGCAGCAGUGGGGAAUAUUGGACAAUGGGCGCAAGCCUGAUCCAGCCAUACCGCGUGGGUGAAGAAGGCCUUCGGGUUGUAAAGCCCUUUUGUUGGGAAAGAAAAGCAGCAGGUUAAUACCCCGCUGUUCUGACGGUACCCAAAGAAUAAGCACCGGCUAACUUCGUG
This 492-nucleotide ribosomal RNA is filed under the name uncultured bacterium. Its description in RNAcentral is "partial 16S ribosomal RNA". It matches the Rfam family "Bacterial small subunit ribosomal RNA", at positions 29 to 507 of the family's 1533-position model. The record is from RNAcentral.